GUGAGGAAUAUUGGUCAAUGGACGGAAGUCUGAACCAGCCAUGCCGCGUGCAGGAAUAAGGUCCUAUGGAUUGUAAACUGCUUUUAUUCGGGAAUAAACCUCUUUACGUGUAGGGAGCUGAAGGUACCGAAGGAAUAAGCACCGGCUAACUCCGUGCCAGCAGCCGCGGUAAUACGGAGGGUGCAAGCGUUAUCCGGAAUCAUUGGGUUUAAAGGGUCCGCAGGCGGGCUAUCAAGUCAGAGGUGAAAUCCCACAGCUUAACUGUGGAACUGCCUUUGAAACUGAUGGUAUUGAAUUAAGUGGGCGUUGGCGGAAUAUGACAUGUAGCGGUGAAAUGCAUAGAUAUGUCAUGGAACACCGAAAGCGAAGGCAGCUAACGAUACUUAUAUUGACGCUCAUGGACGAAAGCGUGGGUAGCGAACAGGAUUAGAUACCCGAGUAGUCC
Molecule: ribosomal RNA, 445 nt
Filed under: uncultured bacterium
Lineage: Bacteria
Description: partial 16S ribosomal RNA
Rfam family: Bacterial small subunit ribosomal RNA
Source: RNAcentral